RNAcentral lists this ribosomal RNA (428 nucleotides) under Verrucomicrobiota bacterium. RNAcentral's name for it is "Verrucomicrobia bacterium partial 16S ribosomal RNA". It matches the Rfam family "Bacterial small subunit ribosomal RNA", at positions 355 to 776 of the family's 1533-position model. Lineage: Bacteria; Pseudomonadati; Verrucomicrobiota. The record is from RNAcentral.
UAGGGAAUCUUCCGCAAUGGACGAAAGUCUGACGGAGCAACGCCGCGUGAGUGAAGAAGGAUUUCGGUUCGUAAAACUCUGUUGUUAGGGAAGAAAAAAUGUAUAGUAACUAUAUACAAAAGAGACGGUACCUAACCAGAAAGCCACGGCUAACUACGUGCCAGCAGCCGCGGUAAUACGUAGGUGGCAAGCGUUGUCCGGAAUUAUUGGGCGUAAAGCGCGCGCAGGUGGUUUAGAAAGUCUGAUGUGAAAGCCCACGGCUCAACCGUGGAGGGUCAUUGGAAACUAAUAAACUUGAGUGCAGGAGAGAAAAGUGGAAUUCCUAGUGUAGCGGUGAAAUGCGUAGAGAUUAGGAGGAACACCGGUGGCGAAAGCGGCUUUUUGGCCUGCAACUGACACUGAGGCGCGAAAGCGUGGGAGCAAACAGG